AUUUUAUGUACAAGGAACCGGAAGUUACUGGAAAGUAGCACCAUAGAGGGUGAUAGUCCCGUAUGGGUAACGAGUAUAAUAAAUAGUGGUAUCCUGAGUAGGGCGGGGCACGUGAAACCCUGUCUGAAUUUGGCGGGACCAUCCGCUAAGGCUAAAUACUCCUGAGAGACCGAUAGUGAACCAGUACCGUGAGGGAAAGGUGAAAAGAACCGUGAAUAACGGAGUGAAAUAGAUCCUGAAACCAUACGCUUACAAGCGGUCGGAGCCCUUUAGUGGGGUGACGGCGUGCCUUUUGCAUAAUGAGCCUACGAGUUAACGUUGCUGGCAAGGAUAAGUGGUUAAGCCACGGAUCCGUAGCGAAAGCGAGUCUGAAUAGGGCGCUUUAGUCAGUAGUGUUAGACGCGAAACCGUGUGAUCUACCCAUGGGCAGGAUGAAGCGCUGGUAACACAGUGUGGAGGUCCGAACCGGUUGACGUUGAAAAGUCUUCGGAUGACCUGUGGGUAGGGGUGAAAGGCCAAUCAAACUCGGAAAUAGCUCGUACUCCCCGAAAUGCAUUUAGGUGCAGCGCACGGCAUAAAGUUAUAUAGAGGUAGAGCUACUGAUUGGAUGCGGGGGCUUCACCGCCUACCAAUUCCUGACAAACUCCGAAUGCUAUAUAAUGUUUCCGUGCAGUGAGGGCUUGGGUGCUAAGGUCCAAGUCCGAGAGGGAAAGAACCCAGACCAUCAGCUAAGGUCCCCAAAUAUACGCUAAGUUGAAAGAACGAGGUUUGUCUGCCCAGACAGCUAGGAUGUUGGCUUGGAAGCAGCCAUUCAUUUAAAGAGUGCGUAACAGCUCACUAGUCGAGCGGACGAGCAUGGAUAAUAAUCGGGCAUAAGCGUAUUACCGAAGCUAUGGAUUUGUAAUUUAUUACAAGUGGUAGGGGAGCAUUCUAACAGGGUAGAAGGUGUAUCGUAAGGUAUGCUGGACUGGUUAGAAAAGAAAAUGUAGGCAUAAGUAACGAUAAUGCGGGCGAGAAACCCGCACACCGAAAGACUAAGGUUUCCACAGCUAUGCUAAUCAGCUGUGGGUUAGUCGGGACCUAAGGCGAACCCGAAAGGGACAGUCGAUGGACAACGGGUUAAUAUUCCCGUACUAGUUAUUACUGUGAUGGGGUGACGGAGUGAUGAAAGCGCCGCGAACUGACGGAAUAGUUCGUUGAAGUACCUACCUAUAAGACCCGCAGGCAAAUCCACGGGUUUUGGGGAAAUACGAUAGUACUCGGAUACUUCGGUAGAAGAGAUAGUGCGCCUAAGGGCUUCCA
This 1302-nucleotide ribosomal RNA is filed under the name Flavobacterium erciyesense. Its description in RNAcentral is "Flavobacterium sp. F-328 partial 23S ribosomal RNA". It matches the Rfam family "Bacterial large subunit ribosomal RNA", at positions 316 to 1610 of the family's 2925-position model. The record is from RNAcentral. Lineage: Bacteria; Pseudomonadati; Bacteroidota; Flavobacteriia; Flavobacteriales; Flavobacteriaceae.